This 441-nucleotide ribosomal RNA is filed under the name uncultured bacterium. RNAcentral's name for it is "partial 16S ribosomal RNA". It matches the Rfam family "Bacterial small subunit ribosomal RNA", at positions 338 to 795 of the family's 1533-position model. The record is from RNAcentral.
CCUACGGGGGGCAGCAGUGGGGAAUAUUGGGCAAUGGGCGCAAGCCUGACCCAGCAACGCCGCGUGAAGGAAGAAGGCUUUCGGGUUGUAAACUUCUUUUGUCAGGGAAGAGUAGAAGACGGUACCUGACGAAUAAGCCAUGGCUAACGCCGUGCCAGCAGCCGCGGUAAUACGGAGGAUGCGAGCGUUAUCCGGAUUUAUUGGGUUUAAAGGGUGCGUAGGCGGUCCGUUAAGUCAGCGGUAAAAUUGCGGGGCUCAACCCCGUCGAGCCGUUGAAACUGGCAGACUUGAGUGGGCGAGAAGUACGCGGAAUGCGCGGUGUAGCGGUGAAAUGCAUAGAUAUCGCGCAGAACUCCGAUUGCGAAGGCAGCGUACCGGCGCCAGACUGACGCUGAGGCACGAAAGCGUGGGGAUCGAACAGGAUUAGAUACCCUGGUAGUC